This 538-nucleotide ribosomal RNA is filed under the name Bifidobacterium pseudocatenulatum. RNAcentral's name for it is "bacterial SSU rRNA". It matches the Rfam family "Bacterial small subunit ribosomal RNA", at positions 161 to 710 of the family's 1533-position model. The record is from RNAcentral. Lineage: Bacteria; Bacillati; Actinomycetota; Actinomycetes; Bifidobacteriales; Bifidobacteriaceae.
UGGUAAUGCCGGAUGCUCCGACUCCUCGCAUGGGGUGUCGGGAAAGAUUUCAUCGGUAUGGGAUGGGGUCGCGUCCUAUCAGGUAGUCGGCGGGGUAACGGCCCACCGAGCCUACGACGGGUAGCCGGCCUGAGAGGGCGACCGGCCACAUUGGGACUGAGAUACGGCCCAGACUCCUACGGGAGGCAGCAGUGGGGAAUAUUGCACAAUGGGCGCAAGCCUGAUGCAGCGACGCCGCGUGCGGGAUGACGGCCUUCGGGUUGUAAACCGCUUUUGAUCGGGAGCAAGCCUUCGGGUGAGUGUACCUUUCGAAUAAGCACCGGCUAACUACGUGCCAGCAGCCGCGGUAAUACGUAGGGUGCAAGCGUUAUCCGGAAUUAUUGGGCGUAAAGGGCUCGUAGGCGGUUCGUCGCGUCCGGUGUGAAAGUCCAUCGCUUAACGGUGGAUCUGCGCCGGGUACGGGCGGGCUGGAGUGCGGUAGGGGAGACUGGAAUUCCCGGUGUAACGGUGGAAUGUGUAGAUAUCGGAAAAGAACACC